GCUGCUUGGCGGCACUCAUCUUCUCCCUCUAGGAACAUGCCCUGCCGCAAGAACGCUUAGACUCUCUGGUCUCUUCCAGACAUACUUUUGUGUCCCUGGAAUCCAGGAAACUCUGGCUACCUGCAGUGUGGAGAAGCAGCUGGCCGGGCCAGGACCCGGGGCCCCUCCCUGGAGGGAGCAAAUGCCUCUCCGGCUGCAGCUGCGGAAAGAGGGAGGAGACUCGGGGGACAGGAUGGUGAGCUGUGGAGGCAGUGGUUUGGAUUUUAACUCGGCACUACUGGGAGCCAUGGAGUUGGAGCACAGUUAGCUGUUCUUGAACGUCUUCAAAC
This 329-nucleotide long non-coding RNA is filed under the name Mustela putorius furo (domestic ferret). Its description in RNAcentral is "lncRNA (ENSMPUG00000030062.1)". Lineage: Eukaryota; Metazoa; Chordata; Mammalia; Carnivora; Mustelidae. The record is from RNAcentral.